AUUGAACGCUGGCGGCAGGCCUAACACAUGCAAGUCGAACGGUAACAGGAAGAAGCUUGCUUCUUUGCUGACGAGUGGCGGACGGGUGAGUAAUGUCUGGGAAACUGCCUGAUGGAGGGGGAUAACUACUGGAAACGGUAGCUAAUACCGCAUAACGUCGCAAGACCAAAGAGGGGGACCUUCGGGCCUCUUGCCAUCGGAUGUGCCCAGAUGGGAUUAGCUAGUAGGUGGGGUAACGGCUCACCUAGGCGACGAUCCCUAGCUGGUCUGAGAGGAUGACCAGCCACACUGGAACGGAGACACGGUCCAGACUCCUACGGGAGGCAGCAGUGGGGAAUAUUGCACAAUGGGCGCAAGCCUGAUGCAGCCAUGCCGCGUGUAUGAAGAAGGCCUUCGGGUUGUAAAGUACUUUCAGCGGGGAGGAAGGGAGUAAAGUUAAUACCUUGGCUCAUUGACGUUACCCGCAGAAGAAGCACCGGCUAACUCCGUG
Molecule: ribosomal RNA, 490 nt
Filed under: uncultured bacterium
Lineage: Bacteria
Description: partial 16S ribosomal RNA
Rfam family: Bacterial small subunit ribosomal RNA
Source: RNAcentral